Molecule: ribosomal RNA, 440 nt
Filed under: uncultured bacterium
Lineage: Bacteria
Description: partial 16S ribosomal RNA
Rfam family: Bacterial small subunit ribosomal RNA
Source: RNAcentral
CCUACGGGAGGCAGCAGUAGGGAAUAUUGCUCAAUGGGGGAAACCCUGAAGCAGCAACGCCGCGUGGAGGAUGAAGGUUUUCGGAUUGUAAACUCCUUUUGUUAGAGAAGAUAAUGACGGUAUCUAACGAAUAAGCACCGGCUAACUCCGUGCCAGCAGCCGCGGUAAUACGGAGGGUGCAAGCGUUACUCGGAAUCACUGGGCGUAAAGAGCGCGUAGGCGGGAUAGCAAGUCAGAUGUGAAAUCCUAUGGCUUAACUAUAGAACUGCAUUUGAAACUGUUAUUCUAGAGUAUGGGAGAGGUAGGUGGAAUUCUUGGUGUAGGGGUAAAAUCCGUAGAGAUCAAGAGGAAUACUCAUUGCGAAGGCGACCUACUAGAACAUAACUGACGCUGAUGCACGAAAGCGUGGGGAGCAAACAGGAUUAGAUACCCUUGUAGUC